CGGAGGGGGCUAGCGUUGUUCGGAAUUACUGGGCGUAAAGCGCACGUAGGCGGCUUUGUAAGUUAGAGGUGAAAGCCCGGGGCUCAACUCCGGAAAUGCCUUUAAGACUGCAUCGCUAGAAUCGUGGAGAGGUGAGUGGAAUUCCGAGUGUAGAGGUGAAAUUCGUAGAUAUUCGGAAGAACACCAGUGGCGAAGGCGACUCACUGGACACGUAUUGACGCUGAGGUGCGAAAGCGUGGGGAGCAAACAGGAUUAGAUGCCCUGGUAGUCCACGCUGUAAACGAUGAUGACUAGCUGUCUGGGCGCUUAGCGUUCAGGUGGCGCAGCUAACGCGUUAAGUCAUCCGCCUGGGGAGUACGGCCGCAAGGUUA
RNAcentral lists this ribosomal RNA (371 nucleotides) under uncultured organism. RNAcentral describes it as "bacterial SSU rRNA". It matches the Rfam family "Bacterial small subunit ribosomal RNA", at positions 526 to 896 of the family's 1533-position model. The record is from RNAcentral.